GAUGAACGCUGGCGGCGUGCCUAAUACUUACAAGUCGAGCGAACAGACGAGGAGCUUGCUCCUCUGACGUUAGCGGCGGACGGGUGAGUAACACGUGGAUAACCUACCUAUAAGACUGGGAUAACUUCGGGAAACCGGAGCUAAUACCGGAUAAUAUAUUGAACCGCAUGGUUCAAUAGUGAAAGACGGUUUUGCUGUCACUUAUAGAUGGAUCCGCGCCGCAUUAGCUAGUUGGUAAGGUAACGGCUUACCAAGGCAACGAUGCGUAGCCGACCUGAGAGGGUGAUCGGCCACACUGGAACUGAGACACGGUCCAGACUCCUUCGGGAGGCAGCAGUAGGGAAUCUUCCGCAAUAGGCGAAAGCCUGACGGAGCAACGCCGCGUGAGUGAUGAAGGUCUUCGGAUCGUAAAACUCUGUUAUUAGGGAAGAACAAAUGUGUAAGUAACUAUGCACGUCUUGACGGUACCUAAUCAGAAAGCCACGGCUAACUACGUG
RNAcentral lists this ribosomal RNA (497 nucleotides) under uncultured bacterium. RNAcentral describes it as "partial 16S ribosomal RNA". It matches the Rfam family "Bacterial small subunit ribosomal RNA", at positions 28 to 507 of the family's 1533-position model. The record is from RNAcentral.